CGACUCCAUGAAGCUGGAUUCGCUAGUAAUCGCGCAUCAGCCACGGCGCGGUGAAUACGUUCCCGGGCCUUGUACACACCGCCCGUCAAGCCAUGGAAGCCGGGGGUGCCUGAAGUGCGCUGCCGCAAGGAGCGUCCUAGGGUAAAACCGGUGACUGGGGCUAAGUCGUAACAAGGUAAC
This 180-nucleotide ribosomal RNA is filed under the name uncultured bacterium. RNAcentral's name for it is "partial 16S ribosomal RNA". It matches the Rfam family "Bacterial small subunit ribosomal RNA", at positions 1313 to 1500 of the family's 1533-position model. The record is from RNAcentral.